AGAACUUUGAAGAGAGAGUUCAAGAGUACGUGAAACCGUUCAGGGGUAAACCUGAGAAACCCAAAAGAUCGAACGGGGAGAUUCAUCGUCAGCGGCGCUGGCUUCCGCUCGACGCGCGAUGUCGCUCGAGGGCGGGCUCUCGGGCUCGUCCCUUCGUGACGACACGCCGACGAUGCGCGAUGCGUCCGGUGCCGUAGGCGUGCACUUCUCCCCUUGUAGAACGUCGCGACCCGUUGGGUGUCGGUCCACGGCCCGCUGUGUCGACUGUCUCGAGGCGCGUUAAUAGCGCGUCGCCGGGUCAGACACGCGGUCGCCCGGCCGGCUGCCCGGCGGUAUCGAUUUUUCAAUCUUUCGAACGCAAUGAGCCGCACAAAGUGCGUACUUUUGGCUCGGCGGCAGGCUCGCCUCGCCCGGCGUUUACGGACCUGGUGCCGUUGUCGGGCGCUUGGUAUUCACGGGCCGUUAGUCGUCGAUGUCCUCGUACGGGCUCUCGUAUGUUCAUCCCCCUCGCGGGGAUGGACGCGCAAGUCGGCGACGCUACUGCUUUGGGUACUUUCAGGACCCGUCUUG
RNAcentral lists this ribosomal RNA (570 nucleotides) under Signiphora sp. PRJ-1. Its description in RNAcentral is "eukaryotic LSU rRNA". Lineage: Eukaryota; Metazoa; Arthropoda; Insecta; Hymenoptera; Signiphoridae. The record is from RNAcentral.